GUGUGAACCAGGAAGACUUCAUCCUCCAACCACACUGGCUGGGCUGUUGAAUCAAUCCUGACAUGAGGACAGGAGCCUCACCCUGCCCAGCAGAACUUACUGCCUUAUAUCAGUGCAGCUGACUCAUAUGAGUCCAACACUGGAUGACCAAAGCCCAAUGGAGAUUCGGUGCACGGAAGAGGGUGCUGGGCCUGGGAUCUUCAGAAUGGAGUUGGGAGACCAGAGGCAAUCCAUUUCUCAGUCCCAACGCUGGUGCUGCCUGCAACGUGGCUGUGUUAUACUGGGCGUCCUGGGGCUUCUGGCUGGAGCAGGCAUUGCUUCAUGGCUCUUAGUGUUGUAUCUAUGGCCAGCUGCCUCUCCAUCCAUCUCUGGGACGUUGCAGGAGGAGGAGAUGACUUUGAACUGUCCAGGAGUGAGCCGUGAGGAAGAGCUCCUUCCAUCUCUUCCCAAAACAGUAUCUUUCAGAAUAAAUGGAGAGGAUCUUCUGCUUCAAGUACAAGUAAGAGCUCGGCCAGACUGGCUCCUGGUCUGCCACGAGGGCUGGAGCCCCGCCCUGGGCAUGCACAUCUGCAAGAGUCUUGGGCAUAUCAGGCUUACUCAACACAAGGCCGUGAAUCUGUCUGACAUCAAGCUCAACAGAUCCCAGGAGUUUGCUCAACUCUCUGCUAGACCGGGAGGCCUUGUAGAGGAGUCAUGGAAACCCAGCGCUAACUGUCCUUCUGGCCGAAUUGUUUCUCUCAAAUGUUCUGCCUUUUCUGUUUGCAGAGUGUGGGGCAAGGCCUCUGGCUUCUCGAAUAGUUGGCGGCCAAGCUGUGGCUUCUGGGCGCUGGCCAUGGCAAGCUAGCGUGAUGCUUGGCUCCCGGCACACGUGUGGGGCCUCUGUGUUGGCACCACACUGGGUAGUGACUGCUGCCCACUGCAUGUACAGUUUCAGGCUGUCCCGCCUAUCCAGCUGGCGGGUUCAUGCAGGGCUGGUCAGCCACGGUGCUGUCCGACAACACCAGGGAACUAUGGUGGAGAAGAUCAUUCCCCACCCUUUGUACAGUGCCCAGAACCAUGACUAUGAUGUGGCUCUGCUGCAGCUCCGGACACCAAUCAACUUCUCAGACACCGUGGGCGCUGUGUGCUUGCCGGCCAAGGAGCAGCACUUUCCAUGGGGGUCGCAGUGCUGGGUGUCUGGCUGGGGCCACACCGACCCCAGCCAUACUCAUAGCUCAGAUACACUGCAGGACACAAUGGUACCCCUGCUCAGCACCUACCUCUGCAACAGCUCAUGCAUGUACAGUGGGGCACUUACACACCGCAUGUUGUGUGCUGGCUACCUGGAUGGAAGGGCAGACGCAUGCCAGGGAGACAGCGGGGGACCCCUGGUAUGUCCCAGUGGUGACACGUGGCACCUUGUAGGGGUGGUCAGCUGGGGUCGUGGCUGUGCAGAGCCCAAUCGCCCAGGUGUCUAUGCCAAGGUAGCAGAGUUCCUGGACUGGAUCCAUGACACUGUGCAGGUCCGCUAGCCGAAGAAGAAGCAGCAGCCACCUGUGACGCCGAGCUGUGGAUCGCCCAUGGAUCACCCCAGUCUGGGGGCCAGCAUCUGGGUCACUGGGCCUCUCCCCAAAGGCUCUGACUUCGAGUUCAUCUUUCUCAUCUGAGAACCUCCACAACAGGAAAAGGAGUCUGCGGCUAGAUUGGGAAUGAUGGUGAGAGGAAGGGAUAGGAGGACAGAAGAGACAGCAGAGGCUUCUGGAAGCAUCUGGGAGACUGCUCCUCUGCUCCCCCCACACCCCACGUGCAUCCACUGGGGGAUGCUGGAGAUGCCCAAUCCUUGUUUCUUGUGGGGCCACUGGAAGGCUAAGUCCAACUUUAGAGGAUGCCCUGUCUCGAGAGUUACUAGGCAGAUAAGGUUAAGGUUGGACAAGCUCAGGUAAAGGCACGGAAGUCGAGAUCCCCUCUCCCCUGUGCGGUCCUGUUCUGAGGUAAGCUAAUAGCCCCGCACCAGGCAGAGGUCUACAGGGUAAGAAGGAUGCAGUUGGGCUACACGAUGCUAUUUUUCAAAUGAUGUUUCUGUAAAUUGGUUGAGAGAGUUUUGUUAUUAAACAGAAAUUAUGUAUAAUCUG
This is an RNA transcript of Mus musculus (house mouse), 2111 nucleotides long. It is a transcript of the gene named transmembrane protease, serine 5 (spinesin), with no coding region annotated. NCBI's taxonomy places the organism in Eukaryota, Metazoa, Chordata, Mammalia, Rodentia, Muridae. The record is from RefSeq and is marked validated. The transcript has 13 exons.